AGCACUGUAUGGUAUCUGCAGUCAGCUCUCACCACAGGCUGCUCUGUUCAUUAAACGGUGCAAUAGUAACUCUGUAUCUGGCAUCGUUGGGAUCUGUGCCAUCUUGUGGCUGGAUCCCUGGUAUUUGUGCAGAGACAUGC
Osmerus eperlanus (European smelt) is the source of this 140-nucleotide small nucleolar RNA. RefSeq annotates it as small nucleolar RNA SNORA8. The transcript has a single exon. The record is from RefSeq and is a predicted model, not a curated record. NCBI's taxonomy places the organism in Eukaryota, Metazoa, Chordata, Actinopteri, Osmeriformes, Osmeridae.